RNAcentral lists this ribosomal RNA (253 nucleotides) under uncultured bacterium. RNAcentral describes it as "partial 16S ribosomal RNA". It matches the Rfam family "Bacterial small subunit ribosomal RNA", at positions 524 to 776 of the family's 1533-position model. The record is from RNAcentral.
UACAGAGGUCUCAAGCGUUGUUCGGAUUCAUUGGGCGUAAAGGGUGUGUAGGUGGCGCCGUAAGUCGGGUGUGAAAUUUCGGAGCUUAACUCCGAAACUGCAUUCGAUACUGCGGUGCUUGGGGACUGGAGAGGAGACUGGAAUUCAUGGUGUAGCAGUGAAAUGCGUAGAGAUCAUGAGGAAGACCAGUGGCGAAGGCGGGUCUCUGGACAGUUCCUGACACUGAGACACGAAGGCCAGGGGAGCAAACGGG